This 366-nucleotide ribosomal RNA is filed under the name uncultured eukaryote. RNAcentral describes it as "partial 18S ribosomal RNA". It matches the Rfam family "Eukaryotic small subunit ribosomal RNA", at positions 592 to 976 of the family's 1831-position model. The record is from RNAcentral.
CAAUAGCGUAUAUUAACGUUGUUGCAGUUAAAAAGCUCGUAGUUGGAUUUCUGGAGGGAGCGUCGGCCCGUAUUUACGAGUGCGUGACGUCUCUGUCCAUCCGUGCGGGAAGGCACGGCAUUGAUUUGUUGUGUCGGAUCGCAUCAUUUACUGUGAAAAAAUUAGAGUGUUCAAAGCAGGCUUUCGCUUGAAUACAUUAGCAUGGAAUAAUAAGAUAGGACUUUGGUGCUAUUUUGUUGGUUGAGCCUAAAGUAAUGAUUAAUAGGGAUAGUUGGGGGCACCUGUAUUGCGUUGUCAGAGGUGAAAUUCUUGGAUUUACGCAAGACAAACAGCUGCGAAAGCGUCUGCCAAGGAUGUUUUCAUUAA